This is a long non-coding RNA of Cucurbita pepo subsp. pepo (vegetable marrow), 517 nucleotides long. RefSeq lists it as uncharacterized. Lineage: Eukaryota; Viridiplantae; Streptophyta; Magnoliopsida; Cucurbitales; Cucurbitaceae. The record is from RefSeq and is a predicted model, not a curated record.
UCCUUCGACUCUCUCUUUCCCUCUCUUUCUUUGUUUUAUCUUGCCUUCGUACUCAUCGGCGAUUCACCGCCGCCGGUGAUCCGAAUAUUUGUCACCGUUUGAGUUUCUUCUUUCUUGUUAGGUAGCGGGACAAAGUAUCUUGCAGAGGAUGAGGAAAAUAACUGCAACAAAAUGAUCGAAGUUUUUAUUCAGCCAUUGCGGUGGGGGCAACCACUCCGGUCCUAUGAUUCUUUCAAAACUUCGUUUAAAGCUGCAAUCAUUGUUCUAAUUGAUCAACAUUGGCAACGCUUUACCAGGCAAGUUCUUCACAUAUCGGGAGCCUCUAGCCUCUAGUAUGUGACUCGCACACCGUGCUUGGAUGUGUUCUGGAACGAAUUUUGGCUGGAAUGCUGCCUAUUUGGACUCAUGAUGCCAAUUGUGAAUUUUACUUUUCUUUACUAUUGUAUUAGAAAAUCAUUGUAAAAUGUUCUUUUAUAAAAGUCAAAGGAAACUAUAUUCGAGCCAAAAUUUUCCCUUA